UGUUCGGAUCGUGAAAUGGGACGCGGAUCCUAUUUGUUGAUUUAACCGACCCACCUUUUUCGGAUCUAUUAUAAAAGACAAUUUAUCAAUUUUUUCUAUACCAAACCCUAUACGCCACAGAGAGAAUCCAUCUCCACACCUUCAUCUUUUCCAAUCAACUUCUCAAUCUUGCCGCUAAACCCUAAUUGGAAUCAACUUCUCAAUCUUGUCGCUACAAACUCUCUCGCCUAUCAAUCCGCCAUUGUUGAAAUUUCUACUUGGAAUUGCAAAUCCACAGCAUCUUCAUCGCUGUAUAGCACCGUCAUCACCAUCUUAGGGAUUCUGACGAAGUUGAAAGAGUUGCUGGUAACAUCUUAAUAAGCUGCACACUGGAUCGUCCAUGUCUCAAAUUUUCGAGAUUACUUUGUUAUUCAUCCAUGUUUUGUAUGAAUCUGAUCCCAAUCCUAAAUGAUUUUUAUAAGAUCUAUGCACCUGAACCCGACCACGACCUGUUUAGCAUGAAGUUUAACAUAAAGGAGCUUUUUGUUGAGGUCCUUUUUUGGUUUUUUCUAUUCUUUACCAAUUAAUUUUAUUAGAUUAUUGUAGAGAGACAUGCCGAGACUGGUUCCAAUUGAGUUUGAAAGCUCUUAGCGUUUUCCGUGAUCAAUUUCUGAUGUAUAGCUUCUACUCUUUUGGACUAUCCGAAAAAUACCAAAUGUCCAGCAGGCGCCAUUAAAUUGAGUUUGAAAGUUGGAGAGCUUCAUGAAAACGCUCAUGAUGUCACUUCAAGAUGAAGAAGGAAGUUCUGUCGGCUAGGAACCCAGUGGUUGCUUCACCAGUUGUGCCAAAUCAUACAAGCUUAUCAUCUCAGUCAAAUGCUGGAGAAAAUGAUGAAAAUGUGCCGCUGCCACCUUCAAGUAAGUCACCAAUAACGAGUCAGUCAUCAGAUGUACUGAAUUCCUCUCAAGAUGAGCCAGUGACAGAUGGCCAAACUUUUCCAUUACGGGUCAGUAAGAUUGAUCGUGGAGUCCUGCAGAUCAACACAUUUUAAAGCAAUGGAUGUUGCGAAAGAUGUAUGGGUAUUUCUGUCAUAUGACCCAAAUCUCUGGUUGCCAUUGUGGUCAUCAAUAGAUGAGGCCCAUAAGCAAAUCAUGAGCGUAUGGGAUAAGGCCAAAGUGAUCAAAGUCAAUGAUAAUGAACUAGAAUUUCUCAUAUGAAGUGAUAAAAUUGAUGAGAAUCUUCUGUGGGUCACUCCUGGUGACGAGGGUUGCAAUAAACUACACCAAGCUAGCUGUUUACAGUACUUUGUGAGACUUAAAGCCUAAAUUCGAUAAGGUCCAACACUCCAACUACUUACAUCUCUUUGCAAAACAAGUUUUUAUCUCAGCUUGGUUGCUAAAGGUUUCACAGGUGUACAACCAUUUGUUCAGUCAACUUCGGAUGCGUAAUGUCUCUAUAUUUGCUUGUGGACAAACAUGUUCAGGAAAGACAUACAAUGAAUACCGCCGGCUAUAUUGAGAGGACACCAUAGUUACGAACAAAGGAGAAAGGGCGACUAGAAGAGUCAAAUGUAUCUCAGCUAAGCUGUUGUGAGCAACUUUUAUGCAUUUCUCAUCCAACAUACCUACUGGGUGCCAUCGCACACUGCAUGUCAUAACCAGGAAUGGAUUAUCGUUCUUGCAGCAAAGGCUGUGCCCAAUGGGACAAGGAGAUCAAUUGCUUCAUUCUAUAACCCAUCCUAUAAUGCCACCAUAGAACCAGCAAGCCAGCUGAUCCAAAAAGAGAACAAAGACGUUAACCAUUUUGGUUACCCAAAGUUCGUGUUUGGUGACUACAUGUCGAUAUAUACUGAACAGAAGUUCCUCCCAAAAGAACCAAGGUUUGAAGCUUUGAAAGCGGCGAAUUAAAGUAACAGUGUCGUGCCAUCUUUUAUGUUUAGCGUUUAAUAUUUACGAGUGAUUAAGGAUUAUAAGCUCUUCUCCAUGUGACAUUGCGCAUCUUUAUAACAUAUCUAUUUGUAUAAAUUGUUUUAUGUUUUUUAA
Molecule: long non-coding RNA, 2021 nt
Organism: Helianthus annuus (common sunflower)
Lineage: Eukaryota; Viridiplantae; Streptophyta; Magnoliopsida; Asterales; Asteraceae
Exons: 13
Source: RefSeq, a predicted model, not a curated record